UACAGAGGUCCCGAGCGUUUGUUCGGAUUCAUUGGGCGUAAAGGGUGCGUAGGCGGUCUUCUAAGUUUGAUGUGAAAUCCCGGGGCUCAACCCUGGAAUUGCAUUGAAUACUGGAGGACUAGAGUACCGGAGAGGAAACUGGAAUUUACGGUGUAGCAGUGAAAUGCGUAGAGAUCGUAAGGAAGACCAGUGGCGAAGGCGAGUUUCUGGACGGUAACUGACGCUGAGGCACGAAGGCCAGGGGAGCAAACGGG
This 254-nucleotide ribosomal RNA is filed under the name uncultured bacterium. Its description in RNAcentral is "partial 16S ribosomal RNA". It matches the Rfam family "Bacterial small subunit ribosomal RNA", at positions 524 to 776 of the family's 1533-position model. The record is from RNAcentral.